AUAGGGAAUCCUUUCCUCAUUUCUUGUUUUUCUCAGGUUUGUCAAAGAUCAGAUAGUUGUAGAUAUGUGGCAUUAUUUCUGAGGGCUCUGUUCUGUUCCAUUGGUCUAUAUCUCUGUUUUGGUACCAGUACCAUGCUGUUUUGCUUACUGUAGCCUUGUAGCAUAGUUUGAAGUCAGGUAGCGUGAUGCCUCCAGCUUUGUUCUUUUGGCUUAGGAUUGACCUGGCAGUAUUCAGACGUGAAGUGCUGUGCUUUCUUGACUGAUCAGAGGACUCUUGACUGAGUGAUCUGGAAAGUGUCUCAAAGUCUAACUUCCCCACCCCUUUCUCCAGGGCCUUAUAUCAUUGUCCUUUGGAUGGCUGUUUUUCUUGGGAGUGCAAAUGAGGUGUGAAGUAACUUCUGAUCUUUUCUGGCACAGUAUGAAGUUGUGCGAGGCUCAGGGAAAUAGUUAGCGCCACGGAAGGCUCCAGACAGACUUGUUUGAAUUUGAACUUGAAAACCGCGUGUAUGUGUGUGUGUGAGAAUCGCUUGAACCCGGGAAGUGGAAGCUGCAGUGAGCCGAGAUCGCACCACUGCACUCCAGCCUGGCGACAGAGCGAGACUCCGUCUCCAAAAAAAACAAAAAACAAAAAACAAAAAAGCUAGAAACCGUACACACAGAAGGGGCAAAGAAACAGAACAAAUAGGAGAAUAUAUAUACACACACACAAAUGCACGUAUCUGACUGAAACAGUUGUCUCAGAUUAUCUAUCUAUCUAUCUAUCUAUCAUCUAUCUAUCAUCUAUCUAUCUGAAAUUAUUAUCAUUAUUAUAAGGCAUUGACUCAUGUGAUUUGAAGGCCGAGAAGUCCCAUGAUCUUCUGUCUGGAAGAUGAAGCCCCAGGAAAGCCAGUGGUAUAAAUGGGAGUUCUGAUAACUGGAGGGCCAUUGGUGUAGAUUCCUAUCUGAAUCUGAAAGCCUGAGAACCAACCAGGAGCUCCGAAGUUAGGAGAAGAUCGAUGUUCUUCAUUCAAGCAUUCAGGCAGAGGGAGGACAAAUCCAAUCUUCCUCUGCUUUUUUGUUUUAUUUAGGCCCUCAACAGAUUGGAUAAUGCCCACCCACAUUAGGGAGAGCCAUAUUUUUUACUCAGUCAACCAAUUCAAAUGCCAGUCUCUUCCAGAAACAUUCUCACAGACAUGCCCAGAAAUAAUGUUUUGAAUCAGAUAUCUGAGCAUGCUAUGGGCAUAUGGCUGGGCACAGUGGCUCAUGUCUGUAAUCCCAGCAGCACUUUGGGAGGCCGAGGUGGGCAGAUCACCUGAGGUCAUGAGUUUGAGACCAGUCUGGCCAACAUGAGGAAACUCUGUCUCUACUAAAAAUACGAAAAUUAGCCAGGCAUGGUGAUGUGUGCCUGUAAUCCCAGUUACUCGGGAGGCUGAGGCAGGAGAAUCAUUUGAACCCAAGAGGCAGAGGUUGCAGUGAGCCAAGAUCGUGCCACUGCACCCCAGCCUGGGCGACAGAGCGAGACCCUGUCUCAAAAAAAAAAAAAAAUCGAUGCAGGAUACUUUGGUAUUUUAAGAUUCACAAUGCUUACUACUUUUUGCUGAACUGUGUGUUUUAUUUAUAUAAAAUCUCUCUCUUCUGCUUAAUACUGUUGCCUUAAACUCUACUUUGAUAGUAAUAGUACCAAUCGUGUUUAUUUGUAUUUGUAGAUAUAUCUUUGCCCUUUCGUUUUAUGUCUUUGGGCUUAGUUGGUCCAACACCAGCUCUAAAAGUGAUGGGGGUUGGAGGAAGGGGUUGAAGAUCCAGCAGAACUGAAUGCCGAGUGUCUAACAGUGAAGCUCAGAGGCAGCAAUCAGAACACAUCCUCAGUCUAACCAGCUCUGUCUUUCAAGAAGUUUGCCAGGAUAUCUGAGUGCCUUUGUCUGCUCCUCUCUUAGCAGGUAAACAGAACUCUUGGCCUCUACUGAACUUGCUGCUUCUGGCUUCCUUGAACCUUGCCCAAUUCUACUAGCAAUAUAAUCUUUGUCACCCUUUGCUAAUUCCUGUGCCACUUGUUGGCCCAAACUGGGUCCAGUCUCAUUUUACCUAUCAUCCCAUCUGCCAAUGACUCUGGCUGUGACUGAUACACAAGUCUUGUCGCCUUGAUAUCUUUCCAGUUCUGGAUGAAACUAAAAAGAAUAAAUAUCUUAGAAAGCAACAGAAUUCCUACUAUAGUAAUUAAUCUCUAAAAAUUAAGAGAGGAAGAAACUAAGCACCUAUGAUCCAUACUGAGGUCAAAUUCUAAUAAAAAGAGCAGAAGUUUUAAGUCUAUAAAGCCAAUCAAAUUUGAAUUGUGGGUAAUUCCAAGUUACCAUCCAAGCCAAGGGAGCCUGUGGUCAGAUGCCAUUGCUGAUGUUCAUAGACUCAAGGUAAAGGCUAGCUGCAGGAGGCCAUGCAGUAAGUCAUGUGAUCUCACUGGACUAUGGGAUGCAGCAGCUUUCAGAGAGCCCUGGAAGUAGAGGCUUAAUCCAGCCUGGGUGACAGAGCGAGACUCUGUCUCAAAAAAAAAAAAAAAAGAAAGAAAGAAAAUAUGUUCACAUGUUAUCCAGUUUGAUUCACAAAAAACUAUUUUAGUCAGGCUCAUUAUCUUAAUUUUACAGAUAACAAAACAUAGGCUCACACUGGCUAAGAAGCUCAUGCAAAUUUUUGUACAUUGAUUUUGUAUCCUGAGACUUUGCUGAAGUUGCUUAUCAGUUUAAGGAGAUUUUGGGCUGAGACAGUGGGGUUUUCUAGAUAUACUAUCAUGUCGUCUGCAGACAGGGACAAUUUGACUUCCUCUUUUCCUAAAUGAAUGCCUUUUAUUUCCUCCUGCCUAAUUGCCCUGGCCAGAACUUCCAACACUAUGUUGAAUAGGAGUGGUGAGAGAGGGCAUCCCUGUCUUGUGCCAGUUUUCAAAGGGAAUGCUUCCAGUUUUUGCCCAUUCAGUAUGAUAUUGGCUGUGGGUUUGUCAUAGAUAGCUGUUAUUAUUUUGAAAUACGUCCCAUCAAUACCUAAUUUAUUGAGAGUUUUUAGCAUGAAGGGUUGGUGAAUUUUGUCAAAGGCCUUUUCUGCAUCUGUUGAGAUAAUCAUGUGGUUUUUGUCUUUGGUUCUGUUUAUAUGCUGUAUUACAUUUAUUGAUUUGCGUAUAUUGAACCAGCCUUGCAUCCCAGGGAUGAAGCCCACUUGAUCAUGGUGGAUAAGCUUUUUGAUGUGCUGCUGGAUUCGGUUUGCCAGUAUUUUACUGAGGAUUUUUGCAUCAAUGUUCAUCAAGGAUAUUGGUCUAAAAUUCUCUUUUUUGGUUGUGUCUCUGCCCGGCUUUGGUAUCAGGAUGAUGCUGGCCUCAUAAAAUGAGUUAGGGAGGAUUCCCUCUUUUUCUAUUGAUUGGAAUAGUUUCAGAAGGAAUGGUACCAGUUCCUCCUUGUACCUCUGGUAGAAUUCGGCUGUGAAUCCAUCUGGUCCUGGACUCUUUUUGGUUGGUAAGCUAUUGAUUCUAUUCAGAGAUUCAACUUCUUCCUGGUUUAGUCUUGGGAGAGUGUAUGUGUCGAGGAAUGUAUCCAUUUCUUCUAGAUUUUCUAGUUUAUUUGCGUAGAGGUGUUUGUAGUAUUCUCUGAUGGUAGUCUGUAUUUCUGUGGGAUCGGUGGUGAUAUCCCCUUUAUCAUUUUUUAUUGUGUCUAUUUGAUUCUUCUCUCUUUUUUUCUUUAUUAGUCUUGCUAGUGGUCUCUCAAUUUUGUUGAUCCUUUCAAAAUACCAGCUCCUGGAUUCAUUAAUUUUUUGAAGGGUUUUUUUUGGUCUCUAUUUCCUUCAGUUCUGCUCUGAUUUUAGUUAUUUCUUGCCUUCUGCUAGCUUUUGAAUGUGUUUGCUCUUGCUUUUCUAGUUCUUUUAAUUGUGAUGUUAGGGUGUCAAUUUUGGAUCUUUCCUGCUUUCUCUUGUGGGCAUGUAGUGCUAUAAAUUUCCCUCUACACACUGCUUUGAAUGCGUCCCAGAGAUUCUGGUAUGUUGUGUCUUUGUUCUCGUUGGUUUCAAAGAACAUCUUUACUUCUGCCUUCAUUUCGUUAUGUACCCAGUAGUCAUUCAGGAGCAGAUUGUUCAGUUUCCAUGUAGUUGAGCAGUUUUGAGUGAGAUUCUUAAUCCUGAGUUCUAGUUUGAUUGCACUGUGGUCUGAGAGAUAGUUUGUUAUAAUUUCUGUUCUUUUACAUUUGCUGAGGAGAGCUUUACUUCCAACUAUGUGGUCAAUUUUGGAAUAGGUGUGGUGUGGUGCUGAAAAAAAUGUAUAUUCUGUUGAUUUGGGGUGGAGAGUUCUGUAGAUGUCUAUUACGUCUGCUUGGUGCAGAGCUGGGUUCUAUUCCUGGGUAUCCUUGUUUACUUUCUGUCUCAUUGAUCUGUCUAAUAUUGACAGUGGGGUGUUAAAGUCUCCCAUUAUUAUUGUGUGGGAGUCUAAGUCUCUUUGUAGGUCACUCAGGACUUGCUUUAUGAAUCUGGGUGCUCCUGUAUUGGGUGCAUAUAUAUUUAGGAUAGUUAGCUCUUCUUGUUGAAUUGAUCCCUUUACCAUUAUGUAAUGGCCUUCUUUGUCUCUUUUGAUCUUUGUUGGUUUAAAGUCUGUUUUAUCAGAGACUAGGAUUGCAACCCCUGCCUUUUUUUGUUUUCCAUUUGCUUGGUAGAUCUUCCUCCAUCCCUUUAUUUUGAGCCUAUGUGUGUCUCUGCACAUGAGAUGGGUUUCCUGAAUACAGCACACUGAUGGGUCUUGACUCUUUAUCCAAUUUGCCAGUCUGUGUCUUUUAAUUGGAGCAUUUAGCCCAUUUACAUUUAAGGUUAGUAUUGUUAUGUGUGAAUUUGAUCCUGUCAUUACGAUGUUAGCUGGUGAUUUUGCUUGUUAGUUGAUGAAGUUUCUUCCUAGCAUCAGUGGUCUUUACGAUUUGGCCUGUUUUUGCAGUGGCUGGUACCACUUGUUCCUUUCCAUGUUUAGUGCUUCCUUCAGGCGCUCUUUUAGGGCAGGCCUGGUGGUGACAAAAUCUCUCAGCAUUUGCUUAUCUGUAAAGUAUUUUAUUUCUCCUUCACUUAUGAAGCUUAGUUUGGCUGGAUAUGAAAUUCUGGGUUGAAAAUUCUUUUCUUUAAGAAUGUUGAAUAUUGGCCCCCACUCUCUUCUGGCUUGUAGAGUUUCUGCCAAGAGAUCUGCUGUUAGUCUGAUGGGCUUCCCUUUGAGGGUAACCCGACCUUUCUCUCUGGCUGCCCUUAACAUUUUUUCCUUCAUUUCAACUUUGGUGAAUCUGACAAUUAUGUGUCUUGGAGUUGCCCUUCUCAAGGAGUAUCUUUGUGGCGUUCUCUGUAUUUCCUGAAUCUGAGGAGAGGCACUCUGCA
RNAcentral lists this long non-coding RNA (5349 nucleotides) under Homo sapiens (human). Its description in RNAcentral is "non-protein coding lnc-IDS-8:1". Lineage: Eukaryota; Metazoa; Chordata; Mammalia; Primates; Hominidae. The record is from RNAcentral.